GAGGGUACAGCUCAAGUGGUAGAGCACAUGCUUAGCAUGCAGGAGGUCCUGGGUUCAAUCCCCAGUACCUCCU
RNAcentral lists this transfer RNA (73 nucleotides) under Camelus bactrianus (Bactrian camel). It matches the Rfam family "tRNA". From Rfam's summary of the family: Transfer RNA (tRNA) molecules are approximately 80 nucleotides in length. The record is from Rfam by way of RNAcentral. RNAcentral also lists the same sequence under 2 other names. Lineage: Eukaryota; Metazoa; Chordata; Mammalia; Artiodactyla; Camelidae.